CCUCGGGUUGCAGCAGUGAGGAAUAUUGCACAAUGGGGGGAACCCUGAUGCAGCAACGCCGCGUGGAGGAUGACGCAUUUCGGUGUGUAAACUCCUUUUAUAUGUCAAGAAAAUGACGGUAGCAUAUGAAUAAGCACCGGCUAACUCCGUGCCAGCAGCCGCGGUAAUACGGAGGGUGCAAGCGUUACUCGGAAUCACUGGGCGUAAAGGGCGCGUAGGCGGGUUGGAAAGUCAGGUGUGAAAUCCUACAGCUUAACUGUAGAACUGCACUUGAAACUUCUAAUCUAGAGUAUGGGAGGGGGAGAUGGAAUUAGUGGUGUAGGGGUAACAUCCGUAGAUAUCACUAGGAAUACCUAAAGCGAAGGCGAUCUCCUGGAACAUUACUGACGCUAAGGCGUGAAAGCGUGGGGAGCAAACAGGAUUAGAUACCCCCGUAGUC
This 439-nucleotide ribosomal RNA is filed under the name uncultured bacterium. Its description in RNAcentral is "partial 16S ribosomal RNA". It matches the Rfam family "Bacterial small subunit ribosomal RNA", at positions 339 to 795 of the family's 1533-position model. The record is from RNAcentral.